CUGCAGUGAUGACCAUCUUAGGACACCUUUGGAUGAACCAUGAAAACAAACCUUUAAAUCUGAGUGGC
Molecule: small nucleolar RNA, 68 nt
Filed under: Xyrichtys novacula (pearly razorfish)
Lineage: Eukaryota; Metazoa; Chordata; Actinopteri; Labriformes; Labridae
Rfam family: Small nucleolar RNA SNORD58
About the family: snoRNA U58 is found in introns 1, 3 and 6 of the ribosomal protein RPL17 gene in humans. U58 is a member of the C/D class of snoRNA which contain C (UGAUGA) and D (CUGA) box motifs.
Source: RNAcentral